GUGGGGAAUAUUGGACAAUGGGCGAAAGCCUGAUCCAGCCAUGCCGCGUGUGUGAAGAAGGUCUUCGGAUUGUAAAGCACUUUAAGUUGGGAGGAAGGGCAGUAAGUUAAUACCUUGCUGUUUUGACGUUACCAACAGAAUAAGCACCGGCUAACUUCGUGCCAGCAGCCGCGGUAAUACGAAGGGUGCAAGCGUUAAUCGGAAUUACUGGGCGUAAAGCGCGCGUAGGUGGUUCAGCAAGUUGGAGGUGAAAUCCCCGGGCUCAAGCUGGGAACUGCCUCCAAAACUGCAUGACUAGAGUACGGUAGAGGGUAGUGGAAUUUCCUGUGUAGCGGUGAAAUGCGUAGAUAUAGGAAGGAACACCAGUGGCGAAGGCGACUACCUGGACUGAUACUGACACUGAGGUGCGAAAGCGUGGGGAGCAAACAGGAUUAGAAACCCCGGUAGUCC
Molecule: ribosomal RNA, 450 nt
Filed under: uncultured bacterium
Lineage: Bacteria
Description: partial 16S ribosomal RNA
Rfam family: Bacterial small subunit ribosomal RNA
Source: RNAcentral